Molecule: long non-coding RNA, 553 nt
Organism: Helianthus annuus (common sunflower)
Lineage: Eukaryota; Viridiplantae; Streptophyta; Magnoliopsida; Asterales; Asteraceae
Exons: 3
Source: RefSeq, a predicted model, not a curated record
AUAAAACGAAAAGAAGGCCAGAAAUUGGUCCUGGUGUGCGAUCGUGAGAAGGCCAGGGGAAAGCUUUUCCUCUCAAAACCCUAACAUCUUAAUUUCUAUCAAAUUGAAAGUGAAAUCAGUGAGUAAUCGAAUGCAUGGGCCAGGAACUUCGAUUAUCUAGGUGUUCUUGACCUCAAACACGAAGAAAGAAGAAGGCGCAAGUCACUCGAAGUCACAAGCAUCUCAAGAUCGCGGUAAAUCCCAUGCUUGAUUGCGGCGCACUCGGACCGAACACACAAUGUCGACUUUUUAUACGCUUCCGGUUCAAGUUGUCUAUUAUGUAUGGGUCAAAAAAUUUUCAUUUUGUGAUACGAUGUAAAUCUUGUGUCUAGUAUGUUAGUAAGUAGUUUAGAUUUCUAAACCUUUUGUGUGGUUUGUACAAAAUGUUUAUGGUGAACCUUUUAUGGUCACAAUUUUUGUUAAUUGAAAAAUGUCGUAGGAUUUGAAAAUGUUGUUGUUAAAAGCAGGGGAAAAGUUCUCUAUAUAAACGGGUCAUGCUAAAAUUUUUCGUAAA